UUGCACUCAGGCCUCUUGACGGAGCUGAAGCCACACCCUUCUCAAUCAGAGAGGAGAAAUACCAGGGUCAACACUCACACAAGAUGGAUGUCCAAUACAAACAGCUGUGGAAACAUACACUGACAAGAGACAAUGCAUCAAGGUAGGAAUCUAAAUGUCAAAUAGGAGAGAAAAAAAUCAAUUCAAGAUUCUGAAUGCAAAUUCAAGUCAUCUUGGAAUGGAGAGUCAAUCGGAGUCUAACAGGAAAUGUAUGAAAUUAGUCAAAGAAGAAAGUGACUUAUUACCAAGCUACUGAUAACAGAAGUGGAUAAUUAUCUAGCGGAUGAAUUCAUUGCAAUUUUGUUUUAUCUAUAGAUCUCAAUGUUACACGAAGUGUUCAGUUUGAAAGGGGCUUGUAUUAUUCAACCUCUUCAGGAUAGGAACAUAGGAGCAGAUGGAGACCUUUCAUUCCCUUGAGCUCUGUCAAUCAGUUAGAUCAUGGCUGAUCUGUGUCUUAACUCCAUCCAUCGGUUCUAUAGCUCUUAAUGGCCUUGCUGAGCAAAAUUUUAGUUUAGGAAUUAUAAGUAACCUCCUAGCCUCAAUAAUUGUCUUUUUGGGGGGAAAAUGACAGCAGGUGAAAUGCCUCAGAUAUCCACACCCUCUUUGUAAAGAAUAAUUUCUUGAUAUCACUCCUGAAUGUUGUAUUCUAGUUCUAAAGUUAACGCUUUAAGAAUGACUUUUACUAAUCUCCUGAGGAUCAGCUCCCUUUCCAGUAUUGCCAGUAUCCAGAUUCCUGCCAUCUGUCUGAUUAUAUAGUUCAGAAUGGUGAAAGGUCUCACCACAGUGACUGCUCCCCAAAUGCAAACUGAAGUCUUCGUGCAUGAGAUGACCAAAGAUUCUAAAUAGAUGACUGAAAACUUCCAUGUCAAAUAAAUAAAACACAUUGUCUCUCAAUUGUCCUUGGAUGGUGAGAUGAAGGCUUAAUCAAGUUAUUUAUAAUUCUGGAGUGAAAAAGAUCCUGUGGUAUUCUGUUUUUUUUUAUAGAUACGAAAAGGUAAAACUUACCUAGAUUUUAAUUCAAGAGAUCAACACUAAUGUAUCAACAGCAAUGUUUGGUCAUAUUAAACCCUAGAAGUUUGAAUGAAUUUUAGACUCAAUUGCAUCCUCAUUCCUAAAGCACAUAAGGUGCUUUCUGAACAUUAUUUACCAACUGGGUUUGGGUUUAUGACUGUCCCUGAUAAGCAAUCCUUAUCUAAAAUGUGCAAA
Non-coding RNA from Chiloscyllium plagiosum (whitespotted bambooshark), 1245 nucleotides. The record is from RefSeq and is a predicted model, not a curated record. NCBI's taxonomy places the organism in Eukaryota, Metazoa, Chordata, Chondrichthyes, Orectolobiformes, Hemiscylliidae.